This 292-nucleotide long non-coding RNA is filed under the name Pan troglodytes (chimpanzee). RNAcentral describes it as "long non-coding RNA NONPTRT004223". Lineage: Eukaryota; Metazoa; Chordata; Mammalia; Primates; Hominidae. The record is from RNAcentral.
ACUAAGUGGCCGGAAGCGGUGGCUCAUGCCGGUAAUCCCAGCAGGCCAAGGUUAUCUCAACUUCCAUCAGGCCUCAGCUGAAAGCUCAUCUGCCAAAAUGCAUCAGCACUCAUGUAAAAUAAAAGGAGUAGGGAGGUGACUUUGUACACAUACUGUCCAGUGUUUGGCUUCCAGUUUCCCUCUUGUGUGUAACUAUUCUAGGUAUGACUCCUUGAGCAUGAAAUGAGGGGUAGAUAGAACAGCACAGCUGUUGGGCUAACAAGAAUUGGUGUGUAGACUGGGCACAGUAGCU